This 376-nucleotide long non-coding RNA is filed under the name Vitis vinifera (wine grape). RNAcentral's name for it is "long non-coding RNA (VVIN_LNC002002)". Lineage: Eukaryota; Viridiplantae; Streptophyta; Magnoliopsida; Vitales; Vitaceae. The record is from RNAcentral.
CAUAAGCAACUUCCGCCCAACUUCAAGAAGCUUUUGCUCAUUCAUUUGAAGAAGUUUGUGGCUGCUGGGAAGCUCGUGAAGGUGAGAGGCUCGUACAAGCUUCCCCCCAGUCGACCUUCGGCUCCGAAGCCGACGGGUGCUGCUCCGGCUAAGAAGAAGGCUGUGGCAACGAAGCCUAAAACUGCUGCCAAGCCGAAAGAAGCUAAGAAUACGAAGGCGAAGAAGGCGCCAGCCAAGCCCAAGGCUUCCGUGCCUAAGCCUAAAGCAGCUGCUAAGACGAAGGCAGCUGCCAAGCCCAAAGUUGCUCCAGCUAAGCCUAAGGUUCCUGCCAAGCCCAAGGCGGCUGCUAAGACGAAGACUGUGACGAAGCCCAAGC